GACGAACGCUGGCGGCGUGCCUAAUACAUGCAAGUAGAACGCUGAAGGAGGAGCUUGCUCUUCUGGAUGAGUUGCGAACGGGUGAGUAACGCGUAGGUAACCUGCCUGGUAGCGGGGGAUAACUAUUGGAAACGAUAGCUAAUACCGCAUAACAGUAGAUGUUGCAUGACAUUUGCUUAAAAGGUGCAAUUGCACCACUACCAGAUGGACCUGCGUUGUAUUAGCUAGUUGGUGGGGUAACGGCUCACCAAGGCGACGAUACAUAGCCGACCUGAGAGGGUGACCGGCCACACUGGGACUGAGACACGGCCCAGACUCCUACGGGAGGCAGCAGUAGGGAAUCUUCGGCAAUGGACGGAAGUCUGACCGAGCAACGCCGCGUGAGUGAAGAAGGUUUUCGGAUCGUAAAGCUCUGUUGUAAGAGAAGAACGAGUGUGAGAGUGGAAAGUUCACACUGUGACGGUAUCUUACCAGAAAGGGACGGCUAACUACGUG
Molecule: ribosomal RNA, 495 nt
Filed under: uncultured bacterium
Lineage: Bacteria
Description: partial 16S ribosomal RNA
Rfam family: Bacterial small subunit ribosomal RNA
Source: RNAcentral